This 210-nucleotide ribosomal RNA is filed under the name Pseudomonas sp. FSL R10-2245. RNAcentral's name for it is "partial 16S ribosomal RNA". It matches the Rfam family "Bacterial small subunit ribosomal RNA", at positions 1 to 218 of the family's 1533-position model. The record is from RNAcentral. Lineage: Bacteria; Pseudomonadati; Pseudomonadota; Gammaproteobacteria; Pseudomonadales; Pseudomonadaceae.
GAACUGAAGAGUUUGAUCAUGGCUCAGAUUGAACGCUGGCGGCAGGCCUAACACAUGCAAGUCGAGCGGUAGAGAGAAGCUUGCUUCUCUUGAGAGCGGCGGACGGGUGAGUAAUGCCUAGGAAUCUGCCUGGUAGUGGGGGAUAACGUUCGGAAACGGACGCUAAUACCGCAUACGUCCUACGGGAGAAAGCAGGGGACCUUCGGGCCU